UCUCCGUUGGUGAACCAGCGGAGGGAUCAUUACAGGACUCGCAAGACUCCUUCACCCUGUGAACCUCACUACAAGCACGUUGCUUCGGCGGGUGCCCCGGCUCGCCGGGGCGCGAAGCCCGCCGGCAGCCUACUAUACUCUGUCCCUUUGCGUUGGCAUCUCGAGAAAAAACAAACAAGUUAAAACUUUCAACAACGGAUCUCUUGGUUCUG
Molecule: unclassified non-coding RNA, 212 nt
Filed under: plant metagenome
Description: partial contains small subunit ribosomal RNA, internal transcribed spacer 1, and 5.8S ribosomal RNA
Source: RNAcentral